Molecule: long non-coding RNA, 215 nt
Filed under: Coffea arabica (coffee)
Lineage: Eukaryota; Viridiplantae; Streptophyta; Magnoliopsida; Gentianales; Rubiaceae
Description: long non-coding RNA (CARA_LNC000128)
Source: RNAcentral
AAGUUCUGGUCUCAGCUUGAAGAUAAAGAGCAAGGUUGUUUUCUUAAAGCUUUCCAUAUGCUGGAUUCAAGGAAGGGAAGGGGCACAUUAGCAUAUCUUACCUCUGACCUUGGUGUGCCACACAGUGAACAGAAAAAUAAGCCCCAACAAUAUUUUAUUGUUUCUUAUCUGCUCAAAAGAAUGGGAAGGAUAUCUCUGGCAAUGGAGACUAUACA